RNAcentral lists this long non-coding RNA (2780 nucleotides) under Bemisia tabaci. RNAcentral's name for it is "lncRNA ENSSSA3NGG002101". Lineage: Eukaryota; Metazoa; Arthropoda; Insecta; Hemiptera; Aleyrodidae. The record is from RNAcentral.
CAUACCUGAAUAGAGCUAAAAUUGGAAAAAAUAAGUCUAAAGUGUUAGCCCAUAACGAUGUCAUUUCUCUUUUAAAUCCCGAUUUUGAAGGUAAGACAGUGCCUUUGCAUUUUUCAAUUUCCAUCUCUUGUUUGUUGAAGUUUCUUACUCAGCAUACCCCUUAAAGGUUCAUUCAUUCCUCUUUUUUUACCAAUCCCCAAUUUCUUUGAAUUAUAAUUCUAUUUACUAGGUACUGAAGAGGAGUUAUGCAAUAUUUAUGAGUUUUCAACUGAGUAAAAUUUUUUGUACAGUCACUCAAGUUAGCUGUUUUGUAGACCCCAGCAGCCUUUUUGUUAAAAUUUUGUGGGAAGCUCUGUAGUUGAUCCGCACUGAUGGAUGGGUCUGUUGCCCCACUGAUGGCACUAAUGUCAGCAAUGCCACAGGAUUCACAUGAUCUAUCUGAUCCAAUGCAAAAAUUUGCUUUAGCUUAAAAAACCAAUAAAAAAAUCCUUUCGAUUUUUCACAAAUCAACAAUUUUGCAGUUUUUUCUUGGCAUGCUGAUGUAUGAAGAUACCAGUUAGGAUGUUUUUAUUUGGAAUUGGUCACUCAUGGGAACCAAUAGCAGUAUUGCUGCACAACAUAGCGUUGUAAGGCACAGCAUGCAAUCUUUACGUUAAAUUUACUGACCAAAAUUUUUUUCUCAAAAAAUAUUGAAAGAACCUUUUUUACAUUCAAAAGGAGCAUUGAUCGCCAUAUCUCUGAAUUCAGUCAGACGUUUUUAUGAAAAAUCGAUCCACCUCAAUCAUGCGUCAUUGUGCAUCUGCAGAUUCUCCAAUUUUACUAUCACACUACCCAUGUGUAGAACUGAUAUUCUCAUGGCUUCUUUUUUUCCAGUUUACAUUUAUACAGAUGCAAAAAUAACAGAAAAACCAGAAAUUCCGAUAGAAGUAAGGAGAGACUAUGCUGUAAGUCGUAAAUUAGGCAAUGGUGCUCAAGGACAAGUCUUCCUUUGUAUCAAUAAGGCAACUGCCGAACAAUGUGCCAUAAAACAUAUUCUCAAAGCUGAUAAUAGACAUGUUCUGAAUGAAGUUAAUAUUUGAAGAAAUUGCAGCAUGUAAGUAUUAACAAGACAUUGAAUCAUUGAUGAUUUAUCCCUUUCUCACCACCCUGUUCAAUGGAACACUAGACAAGUCGUAAAUUUAAGCAUUAUGUGAUGUAUGUUCUCUCAUCAAAGUUGCUCAUGGGACACGAUUUUAACCUGCAAAUUCCAACUUCGUAACCAAAAUAUUUUCGUCGUUUGAUGCAUGAAUUCAAACUUCCCGCUCAUAAAUAAAAACCGAAAUCCACUCGGGAAAUCUCUCACUUAAUGUAACCGUAACAGUCAUUACGUAACAAUCUCUGCAGUAUGAGAAUAUCGCAACCCCAAAUUCGGUGGCAUGGUUCUAGCUGUUGCUUGUUGUGUACACUUUGAACAACAUAAGUCGGGCAAGUUGUAGUUAUCGGAAUGUUGAGGUAUGUAGAAACAAGUUUCAUGAGUGGAUCACUAAGAAGGGUUUGUUUAAGAAUCUACAGUCUGGACCAUUAUCACUGGAUGUAUUGAUGUGGGUUUUUAGUCUGCUUUGUCCUGUAGUCAAAGCACUUGAAUUUUCGUUACAAUAUUGUGGCCGUAUCUUCUAAUUUACUUUUAUUUUCAUUUUUUGGGUUUGUUAUUGUUACCCAUAAAUUUUCUCUUCCUCAGAGCCACAUCGUGCACAUGCAAGGAUACAUUGAGUCGCCAUAUGCCGUGUUCAUCAUCAUGGAGUACAUGGCUUGUGAUUUAGAAUCACUCCUAAAUGAAAGAAAAUAUUUAGAAGAAACAGAAUCGAAGGUUGUGUUCUAUCAAAUGCUCAAGCUGUCGAGUACUUGCAUAGCAACCGGAUAAUACAUCGAGAUUUAAAGGUAAGCUGUCCUCCACCUUGUUUUAAAUGAAUUAUAAUUCAAGAUAAAAACAGAGCAGCAUAGCAAAUAUAAUAUGACAGCAACGUAGUAGAUAUGAUACUGCAGUGUCCUGGCACCUGGCAUUUCUCAUUUAUCGUUCAGUGAGGAAUGCAUUUCUAGGCUGUACACAGCUCUAAAGAAAACUUCUAUCAUAUCACUAUUCAGUCCAGAAUUUUUACAAGGGCUCUUUAUCCCUGGAGCUCUUUUCCUGUGAUUGAAUGCAGCUUAAGUGUCAUUCAGCAAUUAAACGAUACAAUGAACAGUAACAGUGGCGAGCAAUGGUUGCUUGUCAAGAUAGUAUAAAUACGAAAAUCAUUUCAAAAGCAAGUUCCAAGGUUGUAUUUCUCCAAAACUUUUAAAGUAUGAAUGCAGUGAACAAACAUGUAUCCAUCUUACUUCCAGCUUUCUAAUGAGCUAAAUAUGUUAAAGAUUGGGCCACUAGACUGCUGUGAAAAUCUAUUUUACUGGACUAACCUCUCAGCACAGGUCCAGAAAUGCGACUUUGAUGUGCUCGCUGAAUGUUGGAAUAACAAAACUAAUCAACGGUCUCACAAAAGAUAAGUUGAAGAGAGCCUGCCUCACUUUUCAACUUAUUCUCUUUAUUUGUCCUAACACACCUUAUAUAACUGAGGGUAUGAAGGACACAAUGCUUUUUACUGCAUUUAUAUGUAUAAUUAUUUAUAUAAUUAAUAUCAAUAGUUUCGAUGAAAUGAGACUACAAAACUCAAUUUUCGGAUGACCCUCCUAUAUUGCAAGGCAUGUUGAAUCAAUAUUAGAGGGGGAUUUCAGCCAUUUGUGCCAUCAUAUGGCAAAUUAGCUCUGUU